UGUGCAUGGUGUGGGGGUUGAGGGGAUGAGGCCGUUUGAAGCAAAGAACCGGUAUGUGCAAAUGUCCUGCGGUUAAAGAGAGCAAAGGGCACACAAGGCCCUAGAGGAAGCUGUGAGCCUGGAAGGCAGAGUGAGGGUGGAGCAGGGGCCAAGCCUGCAGAGCCUUGUGGGCCAUGGUAAGGAUUUUACUCUUUACUGGCAGAGCAGUAAACAUCAUUAAGGGGUUUGAGGAAGAUGGGUGACAUCAUCUGAUUGGAGUUUUCUUAAAGAUCCCUCUGGCUGCAGUGUUGAGAGUGGAUUGAAAGGAGCCAGGUUAGAUUUGGAGUCACUGAGGCAGUUCAGAUGAAGACCAUGUAGCACAGAGGCCCAAAGCAUAUUUUCUUUCUUUCUCUUUCACUGAAAGAUUUUGCUCUUUUAAAAGCCAAAAAAAAAAAAAAAAAAAAAAAAAAAAAAUCCAGCGGAGUCCUACCCCCAGCCGGUUGGUUCCGUGCCUCCUCCUCACUUCUGGUGGUUGCCGACAAUACUUAGCAUUCCUUGGCUUGUAGACUCAUCACUCCAGUCUCUGCCUCUGUCUUCACAAAGCUUUCUUCUCUCCCUGUGUUUAUGUCUCUGUGUCUCUCCUGUGUAAGGAAACCUGUCGUUGGAUUUAGGGUCCGCCUUCAUCCAGUCUGACCGCACCUUUAUUUAACUGAUCACAUCUGCAAAGACCCUGUUUCCUAAUGGUCACAUUCUGAGGAUCCAGGAAGAUGAGAAUUUAUGGGGACACCAUUCAGCCCAGGAAAUGGAUCAUCCUGACAAUGGAUCAGGGUAUUGUUUAUGAGCUUAAUUUCAAUCAGAAGAGAUAUGCUAAAAAAACUCUUCCAGAAAAGCAUUCUGGAGUCAAAACCAUGGCCUAGAGCUGAGAGCAGCUUCUCUCUUUACACAGACUGGUACCCGCUGGUUGUCACUGGCCUGCUUCGGUCAUUUAUAUUAUUUGGCUGGCUUUCAUAGAUGUUUGAGCUUGCAACGUCUGAUUUAGAGUCAAAAGUGAACAAUGUCACGAUGUGGAAAGACCAGGAGGCUGCUGGGCGGUGGUGGUGUGUGACAAGGGCACCCAAUUCCGUAAACAUCGCUGAAUAAAUGAGUGGCUCUGUUGGAAGAAUGCAGCAGGGCUGUUUUGGUGACUUCCUCUCUGCAAGACCACAGAUGAUGCCUGUUAGGUCCUUAUGCAGCAGCCAUUACCUUGGAAACAGGCCAUCCUGACAGCGUGUCAAGGAAGUUGUUAGAAGGAAUUAUUUCAGCCAGAAGAGAUCUCUGCAAAGCAAUCUGUUCCAGCCUACUGUGUCGUGGAGCUGUCCCCACGUCCCUGAUCUUUUGCUGGAAAUGCAGCGGCAACCAGCAUGAAGCCUACACCUGUCAUGAGCUAAUGUGUGAGUCCUGCCAAGGUCUGCGCUUGGGCUCCAUUCACAGAGGAGAAGAGACCUUCCAGGGAAGUGUGUUAAUGUUUAACCCUUGAUGCGCAAACUCUUUCUCCCCGAGAAACGUGCCCUUGCCAAACCACUCUCAGGCACUUUUUUGGUUUAGGAGGCAGACCGGAGAAAGGCAAGUUUAUAGAAACUGACCUUCAAGUGCAAGGUCCAUAGGCCUUUUUAAAAAAGAGUCUAGGAAGAAUGAAGCGGAGGCUCGGCCCGGAGACGUGGUGUAAAGCUGAGAUGAGAACCAAACCUCGUCAGGGUCAGAUGUGUCCUUUCUCUCCGGCUGCAGCCAGAGCAGAACCUGGAUGCCUGGGUGGGAGAUUCAUUUAUAUUUUUGAAGUACUGCGUUUCACACAGGGGAGCCAAACUCACCUUCUCCUGGCCCGGCAGGAGCUUUUCGAGUCGCGUUAUAGGAACGUGUGUCCAUUGGUGCCUGUUUCCUGGCUGCAGCCGUUUUCAGGAAGUCUCCGUGGCUGGAGGGAGUUUGGCCGCUUCCUCAAGAUGGAGAUGUUAUGUAAGCGUGCUGCCGCCGGUUGCUCGGUGCCCCGGCUCUCCUACGGCACUUGUAUUUCCUGCAAAGUGGAACCUGCCACUGACUAACAGGAUUCUUUGCCAGACGUUUUGAUCCCUCGUCUGACCUCACUCUGCCCUCACUUCCCCACGUCAGAUUGUACGGGGGCCCCAGUGCCCUGUCAGCCUCUGAGGCCACAUGAGGUGGCGUUUACCUUGUGCUGCAUCAAGCUUUGUAAAGGUUUUUGUGAAAAUAAAGAACUCCCCAUCAGCUAAGUCACUUGUGUGCUGAACUGCCUUCCGUGUACUGGCCUUUGGCAGACACAAAAGAUCUUUCACCCCCGCGCCAUCCUCGGCUCCUGGACUGAAGCGAAUGUCUGUUGCUUUUGGCUUUUACGUUCGUGGCUGGUCGAGAAGUCAGCAGGAGGCUCCAAAUCAGCCCUGUCUUUGGUACAAAUAGGAAACUGAAACGACUCCUGGGCAGCUGUGUUUGGAGACCUCCUCUGCUUUUGUCAUCCUGUGAUCCAGUGGUCCUGUCCUAGUGGCCUCUGACUUGGAAAGGUUUCAUUCAGGAUGCCGGCCAUGGGAUGUGUGGCUGGAGGAAGUCUGUGUUGAUUAUCUUCUUGGAGAGGCCAGAUGGCAGUGGACUCUAGAGUUCUGAGUCCCGCUUUGCUCAAAGGUGCCUGAGGAAUCGCAGCCU
Molecule: long non-coding RNA, 2664 nt
Organism: Camelus dromedarius (Arabian camel)
Lineage: Eukaryota; Metazoa; Chordata; Mammalia; Artiodactyla; Camelidae
Exons: 3
Source: RefSeq, a predicted model, not a curated record